RNAcentral lists this ribosomal RNA (505 nucleotides) under uncultured bacterium. RNAcentral describes it as "partial 16S ribosomal RNA". It matches the Rfam family "Bacterial small subunit ribosomal RNA", at positions 28 to 507 of the family's 1533-position model. The record is from RNAcentral.
GACGAACGCUGGCGGCGUGCCUAAUACAUGCAAGUAGAACGCACAGUUUAUACCGUAGCUUGCUACACCAUAGACUGUGAGUUGCGAACGGGUGAGUAACGCGUAGGUAACCUGCCUGGUAGCGGGGGAUAACUAUUGGAAACGAUAGCUAAUACCGCAUAAUAUUAAUUAUUGCAUGAUAAUUAAUUGAAAGGUGCAAUUGCACCACUACCAGAUGGACCUGCGUUGUAUUAGCUAGUAGGUGAGGUAACGGCUCACCUAGGCGACGAUACAUAGCCGACCUGAGAGGGUGAUCGGCCACACUGGGACUGAGACACGGCCCAGACUCUUACGGGAGGCAGCAGUAGGGAAUCUUCGGCAAUGGACGAAAGUCUGACCGAGCAACGCCGCGUGAGUGAAGAAGGUUUUCGGAUCGUAAAGCUCUGUUGUAAGAGAAGAACGGGUGUGAGAGUGGAAAGUUCACACUGUGACGGUAUCUUACCAGAAAGGGACGGCUAACUACGUG